AUUGAACGCUGGCGGCAGGCCUAACACAUGCAAGUCGAGCGGAUGAAGGGAGCUUGCUCCUGGAUUCAGCGGCGGACGGGUGAGUAAUGCCUAGGAAUCUGCCUGGUAGUGGGGGAUAACGUCCGGAAACGGGCGCUAAUACCGCAUACGUCCUGAGGGAGAAAGUGGGGGAUCUUCGGACCUCACGCUAUCAGAUGAGCCUAGGUCGGAUUAGCUAGUUGGUGGGGUAAAGGCCUACCAAGGCGACGAUCCGUAACUGGUCUGAGAGGAUGAUCAGUAACACUGGACCUGAGACACGGUCCAGACUCCUACGGGAGGCAGCAGUGGGGAAUAUUGGACAAUGGGCGAAAGCCUGAUCCAGCCAUGCCGCGUGGGUGAAGAAGGUCUUCGGAUUGUAAAGCACUUUAAGUUGGGAGGAAGGGCAGUAAGUUAAUACCUUGCUGUUUGGACGUUACCAACAGAAUAAGCACCGGCGACCUUCGU
This 483-nucleotide ribosomal RNA is filed under the name uncultured bacterium. RNAcentral describes it as "partial 16S ribosomal RNA". It matches the Rfam family "Bacterial small subunit ribosomal RNA", at positions 30 to 506 of the family's 1533-position model. The record is from RNAcentral.